AGUGAACGCUGGCGGUAGGCCUAACACAUGCGAGUCGAACGGCAGCACAGUAAGAGCUUGCUCUUACGGGUGGCGAGUGGCGGACGGGUGAGGAAUACAUCGGAAUCUACUUUUUCGUGGGGGAUAACGUAGGGAAACUUACGCUAAUACCGCAUACGACCUACGGGUGAAAGCAGGGGAUCUUCGGACCUUGCGCGAUUGAAUGAGCCGAUGUCGGAUUAGCUAGUUGGCGGGGUAAAGGCCCACCAAGGCGACGAUCCGUAGCUGGUCUGAGAGGAUGAUCAGCCACACUGGAACUGAGACACGAUCCAGACUCCUACGGGAGGCAGCAGUGGGGAAUAUUGGACAAUGGGCGCAAGCCUGAUCCAGCCAUACCGCGUGGGUGAAGAAGGCCUUCGGGUUGUAAAGCCCUUUUGUUGGGAAAGAAAAGCAGCAGGUUAAUACCCCGCUGUUCUGACGGUACCCAAAGAAUAAGCACCGGCUAACUUCGUG
Molecule: ribosomal RNA, 492 nt
Filed under: uncultured bacterium
Lineage: Bacteria
Description: partial 16S ribosomal RNA
Rfam family: Bacterial small subunit ribosomal RNA
Source: RNAcentral